RNAcentral lists this ribosomal RNA (500 nucleotides) under Phialocephala sp. 2 MV-2011. RNAcentral's name for it is "eukaryotic LSU rRNA". The stretch from base 149 to 302 matches the Rfam family "5.8S ribosomal RNA". Lineage: Eukaryota; Fungi; Ascomycota; Leotiomycetes; Helotiales; Mollisiaceae. The record is from RNAcentral.
CAGCGGUUAGGAGCUUACACCCACCCGUGUUUACAUACUAUUGUUGCUUUGGCGGGCCGUGGCCUCCACUGCGGGCUCUGCUCGUGUGUGCCCGCCAGAGAACCAAACUCUGAAUGUUAGUGAUGUCUGAGUACUAUCUAAUAGUUAAAACUUUCAACAACGGAUCUCUUGGUUCUGGCAUCGAUGAAGAACGCAGCGAAAUGCGAUAAGUAAUGUGAAUUGCAGAAUUCAGUGAAUCAUCGAAUCUUUGAACGCACAUUGCGCCCUGUGGUAUUCCGCAGGGCAUGCCUGUUCGAGCGUCAUUUAACCACUCACGCCUAGCGUGGUAUUGGGGCACGCGGUCUCCGCGGCCCUCAAAAUUAGUGGCGGCGCCGGUGGGCUCUAAGCGUAGUACAUACUCCCGCUAUAGAGUUCCCCCGGUGGCUCGCCAGAACCCCCAAUUUUUACAGGUUGACCUCGGAUCAGGUAGGGAUACCCGCUGAACUUAAGCAUAUCAAUAA